RNAcentral lists this ribosomal RNA (375 nucleotides) under uncultured bacterium. RNAcentral's name for it is "bacterial SSU rRNA". It matches the Rfam family "Bacterial small subunit ribosomal RNA", at positions 524 to 898 of the family's 1533-position model. The record is from RNAcentral.
AACGUAGGGUGCAAGCGUUGUCCGGAAUUACUGGGUGUAAAGGGAGCGCAGGCGGAUCUGCAAGUUGGAAGUGAAAACUAUGGGCUCAACCCAUAACGUGCUUUCAAAACUGUGGAUCUUGAGUGGUGCAGAGGUAGGCGGAAUUCCCGGUGUAGCGGUGGAAUGCGUAGAUAUCGGGAGGAACACCAGUGGCGAAGGCGGCCUACUGGGCACUAACUGACGCUGAGGCUCGAAAGCAUGGGUAGCAAACAGGAUUAGAUACCCUGGUAGUCCAUGCCGUAAACGAUGAUUACUAGGUGUGGGAGGAUUGACCCCUUCCGUGCCGCAGUUAACACAAUAAGUAAUCCACCUGGGGAGUACGACCGCAAGGUUGAA